This 259-nucleotide unclassified non-coding RNA is filed under the name Botrytis sp. Its description in RNAcentral is "partial contains 5.8S ribosomal RNA, internal transcribed spacer 2, and large subunit ribosomal RNA". The stretch from base 1 to 52 matches the Rfam family "5.8S ribosomal RNA", at positions 103 to 154 of the family's 154-position model. The record is from RNAcentral. Lineage: Eukaryota; Fungi; Ascomycota; Leotiomycetes; Helotiales; Sclerotiniaceae.
AACGCACAUUGCGCCCCUCGGUAUCCCGGGGGGCAUGCCUGUUCGAGCGUCAUUACAUCUCUCAAGCGUAGCUUGGUCAUGGGUUGUCGCCGGUGUUCUACGCCGGCGUGCCCGAAAAGCAGUGGCGGUCCUGGGAGACUUCAAGCGCAGUAACUUCUUUCGCUUCGGACAAUCCUCGGCGAUCUGCCAAAAUCCGUGCCUUCGGGUACACUUUCCAAUGAUUGACCUCGGAUCAGGUAGGGAUACCCGCUGAACUUAA